Dicentrarchus labrax (European seabass) is the source of this 2019-nucleotide long non-coding RNA. RefSeq lists it as uncharacterized. The transcript is spliced from 2 exons. The record is from RefSeq and is a predicted model, not a curated record. Lineage: Eukaryota; Metazoa; Chordata; Actinopteri; Moronidae.
AGAUGAGGCCAUGAGAAUGGGGAUGGCCUUUGUGAUGCCAACAAGAGAGCCAAAAAUCAGGUUCCCUAAGACUGCAGCCAGCUUACACAGAGCGUUGCAGAACCCAAAGCCUGUUCCUCUGGGGAGAGAAAAAUCAGGUGGAGGAGAAAGGGAAUGACUCAGUCGUGACCACAUCCAGGGAGUUCCAGGCAGAGAUGCUGAGGCCAUUGUAAAGGCACAACAUGAAAAUCAUCAUAGACUCACUGGUGCCGAACCACAAGAAGAAGCAGCUGAUGCCUGAAAGGACCAUAGAGCCACCUGAUAGACAUACAAACACACACACACACACACACACACACACACACACACACACACACACACACACACACAUACACACACACAGAGGAAGCGUGAAGCAAGAGUUAGUGCAAGUGACAUUCAGUUGACUAAUGUUCAACUAAAUCAUAGGACCCAAUAAAAAUUGCCUCUUGUACUCAAUGAUGGAUGUUACACCUAUAGCGUGAAUCAUUUCAACAUCCUACAGUCAACAUGAAAACCAAUUACUCAAGAGCACACGCAAACAUGAACCUCACUCUUACCCUCCAUUCUUACCUAACAUGGACAGACGCCCAAUUUUGUCCAUGAGAAGGGCGGACACAAUGUUGCCGGGCAGAACAGCCAGUGUCCCCAGGAAAUUGAUGAAAUAAACCCAGUAGGCACUGUAGUCAUCAUCAAAUGUCAUCUGGCAUCCAGUCUUGUUGUGUGUGAAUGUACUAUUGACCACCUCUGUGCCAUCUACCAACUUGGAUUCAUCGAUGUCUGGGCAAAGAAUUAAAAAAAAUGGCAAUUUGACAGUAAUAAUACAGAGCCAAUCACAAUAUUCUUAUAGUCUUACAGCUGUUCUGUUUGUCUUGACAGGAUUAUACCUGAUGAAUCUGAGAAUCAGAAAUGACAAAACAUACCACUCUAGCUAUGUUUACAUGUCAAAGUUUAGAAUUUCAAUCCCAAUAUCUCACCUGUGUUGAAGAAGAAAGCCUCAAUGAAAGUACAGUUACGGAAGAAGGAGCCCACUGAUGUCACAUCAUCAAAGUAGCAGUUAUGAAAGGUAGAGUCAAUGAAGGUGACAGACCUAAGCUUCAUAUGGAUGAAUCUGAAGAAGCACAGUUACAUUCUGCUGUUAAUAUUCUGUCACAGUAUAAUAAUUUGCAUUAGUAUCAAUUUAAGCAGUGCAGUAACAUAUAGCCACUUUAGAUUGUAAACCUUACUGUCUGUAUUGUACAAAUGUGUUCACGUUUAAUUGUAAGGAAUAUGUGAUUAACAUUAUGAAUUUGACAAUAAACCCUUCCGAAGACCCUUCGUUUUGCAACCUCGGCCAACUUUCUCCUCUCCUGUACUUAUAUAUAUGAUAUGUUAUGUGCUGGGCUCGUCUAGCUAAAGAUUGACGUAGAUUAACUAGCUGGUUAUCUUAUGUUAAAUUUUAACCAUCUUCAUAAUUUGGUUGUGUUAUCAAAAUAGACGAGCCUAGCACAUAGCAUAUCUACAGUAAGUACAGGAAAGGAGAAAGUUGACUGGGGGUUUGAACGAGGCUUGCUCAACUGUUAUGGGAGCACAGACAAGAAGGGGCGGGUCAAUUAUUUGACUGAUUUGUGAUUUUGCAUCUACUACUCCUGCUGUUAAAUUGACUUGUGCUACCGGUCAUUGAUGAAAAGGCCAUUUUUGUGUAUCUGGUUCUCCAGGGUGAAGUUGAAGGUGAAGUCUUCAAUGCGUUCAUUGUUGUGGAUCUUCACUUUGGAGGCGUAAUCAUCUGCCUGAAGGUGUUUGAUUACAUCAGGGAACCAGACUGACAGGCCAUAAUAUCUGUAACCAGAGGGAUACACUGAUAUUAGGAUAUCAAGAAUCCAUUGAUAAGCAGCACAGAUCAGCAGAUGUGACACAAACAUGGAUAAUUACACUCUUAAAUGUGCAGUCAGACACAGGCAGAGAGACAGACACACAAUAAAAAACACAGGAGACACUUGUGGUUUCUGUUUGAUUUUAAAA